AUUGAACGCUGGCGGCAGGCCUAACACAUGCAAGUCGAGCGGUAAAGAGAAGCUUGCUUCUCUUGAGAGCGGCGGACGGGUGAGUAAUGCCUAGGAAUCUGCCUGGUAGGGGGGGAUAACGCUCGGAAACGGACGCUAAUACCGCAUACGUCCUAUGGGAAAAAGCAGGGGACCUUCGGGCCUUGCGCUAUCAAAUGAGCCUAGGUCGGAUUACCUAGUUGGUGAGGUAAUGGCUCACCAAGGCAACAAUCCGUAACUGGUCUGAGAGGAUGAUCAGUCACACUGGAACUGAAACACGGUCCAAACUCCUACGGGAGGCAGCAGUGGGGAAUAUUGGACAAUGGGCGAAAGCCUGAUCCAGCCAUGCCGCGUGUGUGAAGAAGGUCUUCGGAUUGUAAAGCACUUUAAGUUGGGAGGAAGGGCAGUUACCUAAUACGUAUCUGUUUUGACGUUACCGACAGAAUAAGCACCGGCUAACUCUGUG
This 484-nucleotide ribosomal RNA is filed under the name uncultured bacterium. RNAcentral's name for it is "bacterial SSU rRNA". It matches the Rfam family "Bacterial small subunit ribosomal RNA", at positions 30 to 507 of the family's 1533-position model. The record is from RNAcentral.